UGAGGCCUACGGGGCGCAGCAGUCGGGAAUAUUGCGCAAUGGAGGAAACUCUGACGCAGUGACGCCGCGUAUAGGAAGAAGGUUUUCGGAUUGUAAACUAUUGUCGUGAGGGAAGAAAUUGACAGUACCUCAGGAGGAAGCUCCGGCUAACUAUGUGCCAGCAGCCGCGGUAAUACAUAGGGAGCAAGCGUUAUCCGGAUUUAUUGGGUGUAAAGGGAGCGUAGGUGGCAUGGUAAGCCAGAAGUGAAAACCCAGGGCUCAACUCUGUGGAUUGCUUUUGGAACUAUCAAGCUAGAGUGCUGGAG
RNAcentral lists this ribosomal RNA (305 nucleotides) under uncultured bacterium. RNAcentral describes it as "bacterial SSU rRNA". It matches the Rfam family "Bacterial small subunit ribosomal RNA", at positions 333 to 654 of the family's 1533-position model. The record is from RNAcentral.